Molecule: long non-coding RNA, 1970 nt
Filed under: Canis lupus familiaris (dog)
Lineage: Eukaryota; Metazoa; Chordata; Mammalia; Carnivora; Canidae
Description: lncRNA (ENSCAFG00845027697.1)
Source: RNAcentral
AUGCCUGAUAGACGUGCACCCUCACGAUGGGGCAGGUGCCGUCAGCAGACGUUAUUUCCCCCUUGGGCUUCCCUUGUGCUUCAUCCUGCCCACCUUCACUUCCUGUCUCCCCAGCGAGACGCGAGGGCCCUGGAUGGGGAACCGUCCCUGCUCGCCCAGGGCCCGGCUCCGAGCCUGGCUCAGGGCGGAGCUGGUGAACCGACACGUGGACGAUGGGCGGCACUCCGAGCUUGCCCUCCGUUACAUUGCCUGCAGAGGGGAUGCAGCGGUAACAGUCACAGUGGAGGCAGGAGCACCAUCGGCUUGGACGGAUUAAGCCCUUCCCUCCAGUAGGGAACGUGCAGACUGAGCGGAUCCAUUGGGAUGUUCACGCAGCUCCAAGAAGUUGGCCAAGACUGAGAGGGUCAUAAUCAUGGAGGUCAGGCCUGGCUUUGGGCCACAGGACGUGUGCUCGCCUCCACUUUGGGUUGCCUUUCUCCAAAUGUCCCGGGCUUUAGGGUGGGCCAGGUGACACCAGUGGACCAGUCUUCACUGGAUUCCUCCACCAGCUCGAGUCUUCGAAGCCAGGAGCUCAAUGAGUCAGACUUUGAUUUGGGAUUUCCCUGGGAUGGACCACCGAGCUCACAGUGGGGCUCUGGAAGCAAGUACUGCCCGUCCCCCAAAGCUGGCUUCCUCUGCCUGCCAACUGCUUGUUGCUUUCUCUCCGGCCCGUUCUGGCUUGGAGAUGGCAUCAGAGCUUAGGAGUCAGACCUAUCUAGAUUCAAAUUCUCCGCUCUGGACAAGCGAGUCAGCCCCUCUGAGCUGGACUCUCUCCUCUAGAAUACGGACUCCACUCUGGCCUCCGUCUCCAAGUGAGAGGUGGUCAAGAUAGUUCUGGGACAGGCCAGCGCCUCCCACUUGUCCAUCAGCGCCGGCUCCCCGUCCUCUCGCCCACCGGCUUCUUUCACUCUUGCUGCCAUGUGUGACAGUCCCGUCAAGGGACAGCUGUGGGGGGCAGGGGUGAGGAAGCCUGUGAGGGGCAGGCCUGGACACGGCUGGGAAUGCCUGUGCCUGCAGGCGGGCCUCGGAGGUCGUCACACCGCAUCCGUGGAUUAGCUCGUUCCCCCAUCAGCACACUUGGCAGGUGUAACUUCAUCCGGACGCGGCGGAUUGCCCUGCGCUCUUCUUGGCCCCCUCGAAGAAGAAUUCUUUCCGUAUCAUCACUCUCUUUAUACAGAUUUACUAGAGGUUGUUUGUUCUUACAUUUCAGAUGUCAAGUUCUUUUCCAUUUUCAUAGCCCCUUGUGAUUCGUUUCUAAAGCCCCACCCUGUGGUUACAUGCAUAAUAUUUGGGGAAUUCAUGUAUUUCCAAAUAUUGUUAACAGUGGGGGAAAUAAAAAACAAAUUCUUGACCCCACCUAUGAUGACUCAACUCACGUAACCCUCGGGUCUUCGCCAGGGCCUGAGGAAGUGAUGGUGGGCAGGCAGCAUGCCCUGAGGUCCGCUGGUUCGGUUUGGACAAAGGCAUGGGGCUCCAGCUUGCCCCCGGCUUCCUGGAAGAGGUGAAAUUCCUUGAGGGGUCAUAAUCCGAAUGCACCCCACAGGCUUUCUCGAGGCCGCUGUCCACACUGGUCCUGUUCACACUGUCCACACUAACCACUGGUCCUUGAGCCUCUAGCGCAUCUGAUGCUCCAUCUUGAUGCGAUCUCAGGUGUGACAGAGAAGGGCGAGGCACCGUGUCCACCUGUGCGGCCGCGACACACAGGAAAAUGGUCUGGGUUUUGUUUCACUUGCGUGUCCUCCAGCUUCUGCCGUGUUCCUCACCUAGAAGGCGUUGGGAGGAUGGACAGCAAACAGGAGACCGUCCGGCUCAUCUUGACGUCUUCCCAUCCUCAUAGGUGCCCAAGUCCCAGAGGGGCCACGCGCACCUGCUGGGGUAAGGAAUGAACGAAAGAGGCCCGUCCCUUUGAGAGACCGCAGACUUCACUCAUU